UACGUAGGGUGCGAGCGUUGUCCGGAAUUACUGGGCGUAAAGAGCUCGUAGGUGGUUUGUCGCGUUGUCCGUGAAAACUCACAACUCAAUUGUGGGCGUGCGGGCGAUACGGGCAGACUGGAGUACUGCAGGGGAGACUGGAAUUCCUGGUGUAGCGGUGGAAUGCGCAGAUAUCAGGAGGAACGCCGGUGGCGAAGGCGGGUCUCUGGGCAGUAACUGACGCUGAGGAGCGAAAGCGUGGGGAGCGAACAGG
Molecule: ribosomal RNA, 253 nt
Filed under: uncultured bacterium
Lineage: Bacteria
Description: partial 16S ribosomal RNA
Rfam family: Bacterial small subunit ribosomal RNA
Source: RNAcentral